RNAcentral lists this long non-coding RNA (843 nucleotides) under Homo sapiens (human). RNAcentral's name for it is "HSALNT0351068". Lineage: Eukaryota; Metazoa; Chordata; Mammalia; Primates; Hominidae. The record is from RNAcentral.
CCAAAGUCAGCAGGAGGAAGUAGAAAUGAGACAGAGGCCUCUGUCUCCUAAUCUUUUCCAUAGGCUACUGUUUUCUUUCUUUUCUCAUGAGGAAAAAUGAUAAAAGCAAAAUAAACAAAUUAGCUACCACUUAUGAAAAUCCCCAGGAAAUUCCUUUUCCAGAGUUCUCACUUACUAAUUUGGCUAACAUUACCAAUGGUAACAGACCCCACGUAUCCGCCACAAUUGCUGUGAGUUGCAGAGGAAAAAGACUGGGAGGAAAUCUUCACUUUUCUUCUGCAACAGCAACCAACAGAAAUGAAAGAGCCAGGGGAUUUUGCAAAAUAUCAACUCCUGAGAACUAAGAAUGAGAGCCUUUCCUGCCAAGCCCAUUCUGUGCCAGUCAUCAUAAAAUACUGGAUUCUAUAGCACAUCCUUGAAUUGUGUUUAUCCAAUCCACAUUUCUCUUCUGCUGGACAUUCAGAGGACUGUUUCUCACUAAUAUCAGGAGAAAUCUGUCUUGGUGUUGGAGCCUCUUGGAAUUCGUGACAAGGAAAAAAGUACACCAAGUAAACUAGUAAAACAAAAGUGAGAAGGCCCUUGACAGAUGUGAGCCCCUUGACCUUGGACUUCCCAGCCUCAAGAACCACAAGCCAAAUAAAUUUCUGUUCAUUAUACAUUACCUAGUCUCUGGAAUUCUGUUAUAAGCAGCACAAAACUGACUAAGACAAGUAAUUUUAAUUUUUAAGGUACUCUCUCUUAAAUUUCAAAAAAUGGCCAUAAGGUUUUUAAGCCCAUGGGCUUUGGUAUCAAACAGAUGUAGGUUCAGUCUCAGAUUUGUCAUUUAUUAAUCAUGAUUUUGGA